AAGUUUCGAGGUGGGAACGGCCUACCCACGCACCCGCAAGGGUCAGUAGCCGCAAGGCGAAGAGAUCCGGGAUUUGGCACCCCGGCGGAAAUG
This 93-nucleotide non-coding RNA is filed under the name Rhizobium sp. CECT 9324. Its description in RNAcentral is "skipping-rope". It matches the Rfam family "skipping-rope RNA". From Rfam's summary of the family: Firmicutes, Fusobacteria, AlphaProteobacteria, Spirochaetes. Downstream gene The record is from RNAcentral. Lineage: Bacteria; Pseudomonadati; Pseudomonadota; Alphaproteobacteria; Hyphomicrobiales; Rhizobiaceae.